CCAGAGCUGAGUCUUCUGUGAUCUCAACAAGGAAGAAGAAUGGAGAAACUCCUGGGAGUGUCUUUGGUGAUCCUAUGGCUUCAACUGGCCAGAGUCAACAGCCAAAAAGUAGAACAGAAUCUUCAGGCCCUGAGCAUCCAGGAGGGUGAAAAUGUCACCAUGAACUGCAGUUAUAAAACUACUAUAACCAAUUUACAGUGGUAUAGACAAGAUGCAGGUAGAGGCCUUGCUCUACUGAUUUUAAUACGUUCACAUGAGAAACUCAAACCUGGUGGAAGACUACAAGUCACGCUUGACUCCUCCAGCAAAAGCAGCUCCCUGUCCAUCACGGCUUCCCGGGCUGCAGACACUGCUACUUACUUCUGUGCUACUAAGAAGACUAAGUCCCUGAUCUCAGGAGCACCAAGUCCAGUUUGGAAAACAAGACACAGAUGA
This is a non-coding RNA of Equus quagga, 435 nucleotides long. Lineage: Eukaryota; Metazoa; Chordata; Mammalia; Perissodactyla; Equidae. The record is from the annotation of a RefSeq genome assembly.